GACAUGUCCAGGAGCCUGAAGAGAUUUGGGUGUGCCCGAAAGGGAACUGGAACACAGGUGCUGCAUGGCUGUCGUCAGCUCGUGUCGUGAGAUGUUGGGUUAAGUCCCGCAACGAGCGCAACCCUUGUCGUUAAUUGCCAUCAUUUAGUUGGGCACUUUAACGAGACUGCCGGUGACAAACCGGAGGAAGGUGGGGAUGACGUCAAGUCCUCAUGGCCCUUAUGGGUAGGGCUUCACACGUCAUACAAUGGUCGGUACAAAGGGUUGCCAAGCCGCGAGGUGGAGCUAAUCCCAGAAAGCCGAUCGUAGUCCGGAUCGUAGGCUGCAACUCGCCUGCGUGAAGUCGGAAUCGCUAGUAAUCGUGGAUCAGCAUGUCACGGUGAAUACGUUCCCGGGUCUUGUACACACCGCCCGUCACACCAUGGGAGCGGGUUCCGCCAGAAGUAGGUAGCCUAACCGCAAGGGGGGCGCUUACCACGGCGGGGUUCGUGACUGGGGUG
RNAcentral lists this ribosomal RNA (500 nucleotides) under uncultured bacterium. RNAcentral describes it as "bacterial SSU rRNA". It matches the Rfam family "Bacterial small subunit ribosomal RNA", at positions 983 to 1482 of the family's 1533-position model. The record is from RNAcentral.